RNAcentral lists this long non-coding RNA (2457 nucleotides) under Macaca fascicularis (crab-eating macaque). Its description in RNAcentral is "lncRNA (ENSMFAG00000064978.1)". The record is from RNAcentral. Lineage: Eukaryota; Metazoa; Chordata; Mammalia; Primates; Cercopithecidae.
UUGGACUUGACCUCCACCCACUUGGCCUCCACCUGGUCGAUGAAGAGCGUGGUGUUGCGGAACUGGCGGCGGAUGCGCACGCUGUGCCAGGCGCCGUCGUUAACCGGGGUGUCGGCCAGGAGCGUCGCGAGCUCAGCGCAGAAUGAGAGCUGAGCUGCAGAGCCGCCAGCGUCAGGAUCAGCUCUAGGAAGUCGCAGAAGCCCUCGUCGUCGAAGUAGAGCACGAGGCCGCGGGCGCUGCGCGUCUUGAGCUGGAAGCUCAUCUCGCUCUCGCAGCAGGCGUUCCACUUGGGGAAGCGCGUCCAUUGGCCCUCGGCGCCCGGAAACUCCAGCCCGCUGCCCAGCUCCGCCCAGCAGCCCAGGAGCAGCGAGGCACAGAAGAAAGCAGCCCCAGCUGGGCGUCCCCAUGCUCGGGGCUGGGGUGCGGCGGGGGGGUGCCGGGGCCGACAGGGUCAAAAUGGUCCUGGACACCGUGACGAAGAAAUAAGGGUCCCGAGACACAGAAAGGUUGUCCUGGAAUCAUGCUUAAAGAAACAGGUGGCUAGACUCUAACAGCUGUUCACAGUUUCUUGUAUCUCUCCUGACAGAGGACAGUGUUCUUAAAGGUAACUAUUUCAUAAAAGAUAAAAAAAAAGAAAAUGGCCAGAGACAGUGCAUCUUUGCAUUCAAAACUAUUCCAAAAGUAAACAGUAAAAAAGCUUUGACAUUUUUAAUGACUCUAGGUUUUCAUGGGACUUUCACAGCUAUGUGGCUUUAAAUUGUGCAGUUUGGAAAUUGAAAAUGAUAAUAAUUGGUAAAUACUCCACUUAAUUUUCUGUAUUUUAUUUCUAGUUACCUUGUAGGAAAUUUACUAUUUUACCUAUUUGGCCAUUUUUAAAAAUUAUUAAUUGGAUUAAGAAUAUAUUGCUUGAAAUUAUAUAAUAUAGAUGUAUAUGCUCCUAAAUAUACCUACAAAUUGUUAUAAUGAGAGUGCUAAUAUUUUCUAAAAGUUUCAUAAUGGGUAAAUGUAGGUUUUAAAAUUUCUACCUCUUUUCAUAUUGUGUCAGCUUCUCAGUGUUUAUAAUAAUCAUCUUACAGGAACUAUAUAUGUUGAAAUCACCUGGCGUGUUCACAGAAAUACGAUUACUGAGCCUAUUCCAGUACCUAUUGGUUUGGAAUUUUCUAAAGGUAGAGCCUGAGAAUCUGUGUUUUUAACCAGUAUCCCUAUGAAACUCUGAUAAACCUUGAGUACCAUUGGAGGUUAAUCCUUCUGUUUGUGUUUGAUGUAUAUAUAGUCCAUAUGUUUUCAGUUCAAUAAUUUGGUGGGAUGAUUCAGUCUCCCAAGGAUCUCUGUCCAUUUCCCACUUGACCUCUAAAUGCAGAGGAAUAUAUAACCACUCUUAUCUAUUUCAUAAAUAGCAACAUAAUAGAACAAGCAUGAUUGAUAACAAGAGUCAUUACUGUGUAAAAAUUAUAAUUUGAGUUUUUCUCUGAUGUUUUUUCUAAAUUUGUGGCUUAUAUUGUACCUUUACAGCCAUAGUAUACCAUAUCAGCAUGAGAGCUGUCACACAGACCCAAAACAGUAAUCUAUCUGGCUCACUCUUUUCCUGGGAAUGAACCUAACAGAAGAUACAGGAAGGACAUGCUCUUAAUUCUUAGAGUAUUAGCAUCAGUUACUUAUUUUCUUCCUAAAUCUAAAAGUCUUUAAAUUUUGCCAAUCUUCUUCAAUACAGGUUUUAUAAGCACACUGUCAUCCAUCAUGUAUUUAUUUAUAUGCUGUGUCAUCUCUCGUUACCCCCCAUCUCUGUCUCUCUGUCUCUAUGUAUUCAUCCGUCCAUCUCCCUAAUGAUUUUUCUAAACUUUGACCAUGCUUGCAAUCUCUGUCUCUUCCAAAUGGAUGAUUUCUGUUUUACUAAUCUACUUCACAUAUAAUUCAACACAUUUAACAUACUAAUGCCCAAACCUCCUAUGUCUAAUGAUCAAAUGAGGGUAAUUAGGGUGUCCUUUAUCUCAAACAUUUACCAUUUUUUAAUAUUGGGAAUAUUAAGAAUCUUCUAUUUUAACUUUUUGAAUUGUAUAAAAUCAACUUUUUAAUAGAAACCUUUGCACAUUUUUAUUUGCAGACACAUUAUCUUUGCACUACUAAAACUCUUAUCAGAUUACUCCCUUGAAGAGGCUUAAGAACAUAAAAGCAAUAAGAGGCUAGCUCUGGCCUACAAGAGCCUUGUGGCCCAAAAUAAUGAUGUUAAUUAAUGUCAGUCUUUCAUGAAUACUGAGGAAAUGUAAAUGACAGCAAAAGGUAGUCACCAUUUCCCCACUUCAAUUCCUUAAUUUACGUACUGGUAGCAACCCCUUGACUAUCUCUCAUCAGUAAGAGUUUCUUAUUAAGAAAAAUAUAUAAUUGUUCAUGAGGACACCUAUCAUAAGUCAUUUAUAAACAAGAUAUUUGAUCAUCAGACAUGUAGAUAAUACAGUUAGC